Molecule: long non-coding RNA, 30250 nt
Filed under: Oryza sativa (Asian cultivated rice)
Lineage: Eukaryota; Viridiplantae; Streptophyta; Magnoliopsida; Poales; Poaceae
Description: long non-coding RNA (OSAT_LNC001797)
Source: RNAcentral
CCGCUAGAUCUGGUGGUCCGGUCUCGAUUACCGUUGUCUUCGUUGUCCAAGAUGCACAUGCAUGAUGUUGAUGGAGCUCUUGAGGUUCUGCGUGGCAGAGUAGGCAGAGAAGACGAACCAUCGCCGUGGUAGCCAUUGUCGUCCCGGCCUUGCCAACUCGAGCCGUCAUGGUCAUCAGGGCCAUCCUCAACCUGAAGCAGUCGUGUCCCCUACGCUUUGCCACCGCCUCUCCCCUUCACCGAGUAGCCAUCGCCCCCACCCUUUGCUGCAAACCGGCCGCCACCCCUUCCCCGCCACUUAUUCUUCGCGAGGUGUGCACCGUAGGACGGCGAGGAGUUCGCGCAGUCCUGGGCCUCCUAGCCACCCCUUCCCCGUGCUGCAACAAACAUCAAGAGAGAGAAGGGAGAGGAGAGGAUAAUACGAUGCAACUGUUGGUUCAGUAGUAGGUUUUGCAGGUGGUGUUCAUUACUCCGCCAUUAAAAAAUCAAUUCUUAAUGGCAGGGUGUUAAGAGCACCACUCACAAAGAUAGAGGUAUUUUUACAAGCGGUGCUCUUAUUAAAAUCCCACCUGCAAAAAUUAUUUUUACUGGCAGGGCUAGGUUUUUAGACCACUCUUCCAUUUUCAGGGGCAAAGCUUUUUAGAUCCACCACUGGAAAUAAAACUCAAUUGUCAUAAAAAUCGCUUUUUGGUAGUGUCACUGCUACAAAACUCCUCAUAGGUAUCAACUCAUAGGUACCGCCAUCCUCUCCUCUCUCUCGCAACCGCUCCUCCCCGUCUGUAGUCGCACAUCCCCUCCUCCUUGUCAUCUCUCUCUCUCUCUCUCUCUCGCACAACCCUACCCCUCCCCCUUCGUCCCUCGCUCCCUCCCUCUUCUUCCCCCACCUGGCCGGGAGGCUGCCAACGGAGGAGAAAUAGGUCAAAGGAGGUACCUCUGCACCCAACGCUAGGGCGAGGCCGCGUCAGAGAUGAGUUGCCCAUCGGUGGAGUGAGGAGGAGGGGAGAAGGUGCCUAGGGUGAAUGGUGGUGGUGUUUAUGGUAGGGUGAGGGCGUGUUGAGCGGUCGGGCGGAGCAUGCCACUGGUGAGAAGUCGGAGGUGGCGUCGAUCACGACCACGACCACGGGGCCCGAGGGGAAGACGGUCAAGAAGUGUGCCAACGUGUCCGGCGAGCUCAGGCAUGCCAAGCGGGACAAGUGUGAGAAGGCGGGGCACGAUGGUAGGUGUGACGUACAGUAGCGGGGGCGGAGCAUAGCGGUCAGCGGCGCCGCAUGUUCUCCCGAUUUGUGUGUAAGGCAUCCCAAAUUUCUCCCGAUCUUGAUUGGUUCAUGUUUUUGGGAUAUAUUGGUUGGUGUUUCUAGGGAUGGAUUAGUUGAUUAUUGGUUAAAAUUUCUCGCCGAUAUAUGUCUAUUAUUGGUUGAUUGGUUGUUGUUGGAUGCAAAGAUGCUGCUCUUUUUAUAGGGAUGGAUUGGUUAACAGAUCCACCCGCGAAAUAUAUUUUUGCAUGUGGGUCUUUUAAGGAGCCGUACGAAAAAAAUGCAUGCCGGGUUUUGCAGGCACAACUAGUUACGAUGAUCCGCCUGCAACCUACGGGGGGCUCUUGUCCAGAAAAAUCAUUUUUUUAGUAGUGUGCAUAAUAUGAGAUGUUAGACCUAUGACAGUUUGAAGUCACUUUACAGCUCAAAGAAGGAUCUAAACGUUUCUAAAAAAAGGAAGCAUCUAAACAGAAUAUUGGACGAUAAAGACGCAUUUGCCAACUUUACUCAUAUAUUCUGUUGUUUUAAGCAUAUAUGCUGAUACGCGACUGGUUCCCUUCCACUCUACCUAUAUGCCAUACGUUUUUCUCCUUUGUACAAAUCUUCAGUUCACAAUUGCUUUUCAUACCUAGAUUUCAAAUAAUUUAAGUGAAACAUAUAAAACUUUUUAACUCCUCAAACUUUCAACUGAGAUCACAAACAUUAUACCAAAAUCUAAAACAUCUUUAUAUUCAAAAUCUUUAACUUCUUCCAAUUGAAUCUCUGAGUUUUUGCUCAAAUCUUGAACUUUCAACCGGUUGCAGAGCUCAUCACCGGAGAAGAUAUAAAGUAAGGGGGUGCAGAGAAAGAAGGCAAUGGUCGUCUCGCUAGGAAAAGGACCCCAAGAUUGCUACUAGCACAACUUGGGGAAGAAAGAAGGGCCUCGCACUUGCCGCAACUACAACAAAAGUUUUAUAUAAAGACACUUUUGUAGAGGCAUUUUGCAAAUUGCCUCUUAGAUCGGGAGUUUUAUAGUGUAGAGACAUUUUAUAGAGGCACUUUAAAAAUUUCCUAGAAAACUUUUACUCUAUGAACACUUUAGAAAUAUUUUCAGCACAUUUUAUUAGAUUUUAUCUUGUAGAGGCAUUCUUUCGGUACUUUAAACUGUGCCUGAUAUAUAAAGACAUUUUCUUGAGACAUUUUAAACUCUGUAAAGACACUUCUUACAAUAAAAAUAUAUACUAAAUGACUAAAUAUAAGUAACUCAAGGCAACAACAUAUAAGUAAUGACUUGGGGUUGAGUUGGUUAGUACCUUGAAGAUAAGAAUGAUUUGUGCAAUUGAUCAUAAGUUUCGAGGAUUGGCAAAAACAAGGGAAAAUAUUUUAUUGUUUUUUUCAUUGGUUUCAUAUGAUUGUGGUACAAUCUAAUGUCUCUAGAAAAUAUCUCUACCAUCUUAUAGACAUUUUGUAAAAUGUCUCUUCGUUUAUAGAGAUAAUUCACCAUAAGACACUUAUUAGACAUUUUUUUGAAUGCCUAUGUAAAGGUAUUUUUUGAAAAGUGUCUCUAUAGUAUUAGAAAAAUGUCUCUACAAAAUAUUUUUCUUGUAAUACGCCGUGUCACUAGGGAGGAGGAGGAAGGGUAGCUAUGGUGUCUUGCUAUGGUGAGGAACAGGAACAUGUGACGUGAUGGCUUGUGUAAAGGCACGAGGUGGUGUCAAGCCAUGCGAAGCAAGUAAGGAAGUGAUGAACUAAUGUACUUGACAGAUAGAGAGAAAAUAAGGUGUUUGCUAUUUCUGUUUGCACAUGGAUGUUCAUCAAAUAGGGGCUCUUUGGCAUAUGGGCCAAUAAGUACUUUCUAGAUAUAAGUUCUCAAUCAGCUUUCUUUAUGACAGAUGGCAAUUACAGUUUAGAAGAUGACAAAUACACAAUAUCAGUUGUAGUACAUGAACAAUGAUUAAAAUGAUUCAUGAUUAUGAUUGUAGAUAUUGUUUCGGCUAAUAGUACUUUAUCUGUUGUCUGAUUUUUGUAUGUCACCGAGGUGAGCGGCGCACCGAGCGGCCCAUGCACGCAUGCACUCGCUCAGUCACUCUUAGAUGCUGCCGGCCGUGCUAUGCGUACGCGAUCCUCACUUGGUUGUUAGAGUUUGUAUCGAAUAUAUAUACGUAGUCGGUUACAGUUUAAGACUUAGAGUUGUAUUAGGUGUAUGACUAGAGUAUGAGUCGGACUCUAUCCUAGGAUCUCUCAUGAAUAGAGGGGCGUGCCUGUUGUAACCGCAUGGCGACAUAGCAUAGCGAGAGGGAGCGGCUGCCGGCGACGACCGGUCGUGAGUCGUUGUAACUAUGAUACGCUGUAAUAUGCUGGAUCGGGGAGGAGCGUCCGUAAUCAGUGCCCUAGAGAUGUAGGCCUCGGCUGAACUCCGUUAUCAAAUAUCGUGCCUUGGUGUCGUCAUCGUGUUUAGAUCUCCUACGGUGUUUUCUUUCGCGUUUAGCUACCGAUGUCGAUUUCGGGGCUGGUUUUAUAACAAGUGGUAUCAGAGCCUACGGGAGAUCCAUGGUAGAGGUACGAGGGAGGUGCUCCACGCCGCGACGACUACACAGGGUGUCCAGGGACGGACAUGGAUGCAAGGUGGAGCACGGCGGCGAUCAACGGAAUUUGAUCGGUGGAAUCGGACACUUCAGGCGGCGGUUUGAACCGUUUGAUGGCUGCAAUCAACAAGGAGAUGACCAGACGUGGUGCUCGGGUUGAUGGCGGCGGAAGCGAUUGGCAAUCCAAUCGGUGGGUCGGACACUUCAAGCGGGUGGCUCGAACUUUCCGGUGAGCUACUCUCAACAGGGAGACGUGUGGCCACACGCUCGGGGUUGAUUGAAACUGGAGGCGAUCGGCGUUCUCGGUCGGUGGAAUCGAACACUCUUGGUGGGGUGGCCGGGGCCUUUCGAUGAGUUGCGUUCGACAGGGAGAUGGCUAGACAUAGCACUCGGGUUGUUCGGCGACUGGGAAGACGGCAUGUGAUUUGUCGGCUUCGGCUCGCGACUGGAUUGAGGGGUGGUCAAUUGGAAGUCGGAGCAGAUGGAUCCUUGGUGCUGAUGUGGAGGUGUUGAUAACGAGGCAGUGCGUGAUGGAUUGCUACAGUGACGACGUACGCACGACAAGCAUUGCAUUGUGGCAGGCACUGGUUAUUGAUCGGCGGCAUUCGCUGUCAAUGGAAUUGACCCGAAGUGUUUGGUGGCGGUGUAGGAAGUCGUGGAGGCGUACAUGAAGCUUGGAGAUGGUCAGGGCCGCGGCGGUGUGAGCGAUCCUCGCGUUGUGGUCAAGCCGGCGGCGUAGACCAAAGCGGCGUCAUUGGUAGCAGGCUCGGUUUGAGCGGUGAUUACGCGGUAUCUUUUCUGAUGGGGUUCGCGGCGCAGUAGCGGAUGCGGACUCGGAGUCCGGUCACAGCGCGUGCGGCACAAUUGUAGAAGACGAAGCCAAGUCGAACACGAGAAGAGGCGGCGAUGCGGACUCUGAUUUGAAGAAAUCGGAUGCAAUUGGCCUCAUGAAGUCAGCAAAGGAGUUCCAUGGGAUUGCUUUGCAAUCGAACAAAUCACCAAGGCAAAAGGAGAUCGGAUUGGGACCUCUUGGCGGCGGUGAUUUGGGACGACGAGCGUCGAGUGGUAGGAGCACGGCUUGGUGUAGUCGUCGUGCAGGUGCCGGCGAAGUUCGUCGGGCCAGCUCCGGUCGGAGGAGGCGGCAGCGGCACGCGCAGGAACAUCACACAAUAUAGAACGAGCAGAAGUUGUCUGGAACUCGUGCAAUGAGUCAUAGCCAGUCAUGUACAGGAGCAAAUCCAAAGUGCAUUGGUUAAAUUAAUUGCAUGUAUAUGCAAGGUAUCAAUUAUGAUGCAGGAGCUUGUUGGCUUGGUAAUCUUACGGUGGCUAUGAUGGGAAGGAUGCAUGAGACGUACAGAUAAAAGAAGUUUUUGCAUGGUGUGCAGGGCUACGGACUAAUCUACAGGCGACAGAGCGGCACUAGUGCAUUAGCACUCGGAUUAGUGCAUGUCGCGGGCGUGGUGGGCAGACGUGGUGGUGCAAGGUGCUAAGAUCAGGAGUGGGCCAAGAGAAGAGGCUGAUGGUGCGGAUAGAUGUUGGAGCGAGAUGAACACGGAGACUGGUAGGAGGGACUCCGAACCCGAGUCCAUGAUUUUUGCCAGCCGAGUCAGUGUCUGUGAUGGAUGCCGAGGCCGUGGAAAAGCAACAACACCUAGACAUUAGCACUUCGGGGAGCCCUUCGAUCAAUUGUGGCCAAGCUAUCAGUGCAAAAGGUGCAGCUCGGGUGUAGGUGUGUGACAACAAGCGUGCGUGAAGAACGUCCCGGGCAACAGCGGGUGAAAAUCGUUUGGCAGUACAGAAUAUAUCCAUAAUCUGCAGGGUUUGCAUGAUGGGGAUAUAUAGAAUCUGCGUCACUGAAGGAGAAGAGCAAGCGCUAUGGUGGUAAUUUCUUCGAAUGAUUCAAAGCAACGGUGAUUUUCUCAAAUUAUCAGGAAUUCAGUCUACGGAUGCGAAAAAGUGUGGAUGUUGGAUUUAUUAGCUCGGUUCAUAAGAUGAUAAGGAAGAAAGGGUUUUCUCCAUGUCUGGUGAGUUUGAUUUAUCUAUUUGGUUAUGACAUCGGUUAUCUAGCCAUGGAUUAUAUCAAGUCAUACUUAAGACGGUAGAUAGAGGUGAACAUGGUCUUCGAGAAGUCUAUGAUGUGACAGCUAGGAAGAAUUCAAUUCGCUUGGCAAGAUGACUGUGGUGAUAUGAGAGAAGGUGGAGCAUUGUUGCGGGUGGAGUCAGAAGGAAGAAAUUACAGGGAUACUGGAGUAUCUUGUUACGAUGAGCCUGGUGGAGGCUUGUCAGGGCGGCUCGGUGUGAGCGGCGAAAAAGGAUCAACUCAAGUCCUGGUACACUGAAAUUCGAGCAAGUAACGAAUUUGGAUUGGCGUGGCAUAUUCGCCAAGGUGGAGUUUGUUAGAGUUUGUGUCGAAUAUGUGUACGUAGUCGGUUAGAGUUUAGGACUUGGAGUUGUAUUAGGUGUAGGACUAGAGUAUGAGUCGGACUCUAUUCUAGGAUCUCUCAUAAAUAGAAGGGCGUGCCUGUUGUAACCGCAUGGCGACAUAGCAUAGCGAGAGGGAGCGGCUGCCGGCGGUGACCGGUCGUGAGUCGUUGUCACUCUGAUACGUUGUAAUAUGCUGGAUCGGGGAGGAGCGCCCGUAAUCAGUGCUUCGGAGAUGUAAGCCUCGGCUGAACUCCGUUAUCAAAUAUAGUGCCUUGGUGUCGUCAUCGUGUUUGGAUCUACUACGGUGUUUUCUUCCACAUUUAGCUACCGAUGUCGAUUUCGGUGCUGGUUUUAUAACAUUGGUUGCCUCUAUACAUCGGAUAUGUAUAUAGAGGAGUAACAAUCCUUGCUGUACCUGCAUUAAUAGAGCGGCACAGUUCUAUUACCCGCAACACAUGCAGCAUCGUCGUAUGCAUCAGGAAUAUAUAGCUUGUUCACGCCUGCAGGAUGGGCUUUUUAUGCUUUAGCAACAUGGAUUUCUCACGCGGAGGCGCCACAAUAGCUUCUCCUGACUACUGAGUGGGUACUGCGACAAGUAGGCGAGAUAGAUGCACGUACAGAGGUGACGAGUCACCCGACCAACUGCAAGCACCACAUGCACAAAUUUAGUCUGAAAGGAGGAAGUAGAGUCUUCACAAAGCAAUGUCGUUACUCUGCUAAAACCUGGUAGAUUUGAUUAAUUUUAUCAACCCAUGCAUUUUUCAUGCGAUGUUUGUAUUGUGCAUUUUUUUCACUAAAGCAUUUUCAAUGAAUUUUUUCACUGAUUCACCCAAAAUAGAUUUUAUUAUAAGUGAUAGGAAUAAUACAUAUAUAACUUAGAUAUCCAUGGAUAUUUUUUUUGAAAUAUUUUCAUGUUAUAUCUAGAUGACAUAGUAUAAUGAAUGUUAUUUUUAUAUAGGCAUAUUAUAGGAUAUAUAUAAGCUAUCAAGAUAUCUUUUAGAAUUGCAAAAUCUAAAUCGUGCGUGCUCUCGUUUCGUCUUAUAGCGCGACGCGUCUACCAGCCAUCCAUCCGUGCGAGUCAACAAGUAAUGUGCACACUAUUUUGUCUUUAUCCAGCGACGGAUGCAUUUAAGGUUGACAUUAAGUACUGUCACGGCGUGCGCCCUUUCACCUGCUACGUAUUGAGGCCACCACCAACCAACAAGAUUAGUUAUACUAGUCUAUCUUUCUUAUAGAACUUUUGAUGAUUUAUAUCUUUUAAACCACACAUUACUUUUAAAAUUCGUUUGAACCAUCCUACUACACUCAAAAUAUCGAAUAUAUUCAAAUAUUUAAAAGUAAUUUACUUAAAUUUUAGAAGUAACUUAGUUAUUCAAUAGAAAUAACUCUCCAUAGUAAUAGAACUAAUUACGUAGCAGGUCAGUUGUAAUAACUAUGUGAAGUAAAUUCACAAGUAAAAUGUACGAAGAUUUUUAAGUAAAUACAAAUAUUUUCUUUAUUUGAAGUAACCACUAUAUUUUUUUUUCAAAAAAUGUAAUUUUGCAACAUAUGGAAGGUAACUCUUCAAGGUAUUAGAAGUAAUACAUUGUUAGAGGGAAGAAAUUAUGAAAAACAGAAGUAACUCUUCAUGAUACUAGAAGCAACUAGACUGCUAGAGAGAAAUAACUCAAAAAAUAGAAGUAACUUUUCAUGGUAUUAGAAGUAACUUAAGUACCACUUGAUGCUAGAGGGAAGUAACUAAAAAAUAGAAGUAACUCUUCACAUUAUUAGAAGUAGCUAUACUACUAGAGAAAGGUAACUCUUCGCAGUAUUAGAAGUAACUAUGUUCUUAGAGGAGUUAAAAAUAAUGAUAAAAUUUAUGUCGAUUUGACAGUUUUAUGGUACAGUUUGUUUUGUUUAUAUGUCUUUUGCAUUAUUUGGCACAUGUUUAAAGGAUGUGGGAUAAUUUUGCAUGAUUCUAAAUAUAACUACUUAUAAUUACUUUUAGAUUUGAAUAAAUUACUUCUUAGAUAUUUAUGAAAGUAAAUUCAAUAAAGCCUGAAAAUAAUUCACACAAAUUAUAAAAGUAACUUAACACAAAAUAAAAGUAAGUUAUCAUGGUAUUAAAAUUUAAAGUAAAUCAGUUGUGGUGGUAAAAACAUGUGUCUAUCUAGAAAUUAAAUUGAAUCAACAUAAAUUAUAGAACUAACUAAAAACAACAAUAAAAGUAACAUAUUCACAAUAUUAUGAGAAUGUCUAAGAAGUAAUCUAAUCCAAUCUAAAAGUAAUUUAUAGAUACACAAAAGUAAUUUACUACACAUAUUCUUCUUCCAUUAAAAUAUAAUUAUGUGAGAUCUUGUUAUAAAAAUUAAGUUGCAAUGAACAUAAUGAUACAAUCUGAUUGUAUAUCAGAUUAGUAAUUUAAGAGAAAAUUUUAUUUGAAGUUUAGGUGUUAGGAAGUAGGUGGGCUCUUUGGCCAAGGCAACACAUGAAAUUGGUAGGUUGGAAAACUUCAAAAGCAUGAUCUGUUCAUGAGCGGUAUUAUUUUUAGAGAGUGAAAGGUGCAGUGGUACUAUUUUUUAGGGCCGUCUCUAGAAAUUUGGGGCCCUAGGGUGAAAUGCAAAUGCCCUAUAAUUUAAAAAGUUAUGUCUAAUAUAAAUAAAACAUAUUUUCGCUCAAUUAUAUAGAUGUAAUAUGUGUUGUAAUGUACAAUACAAGUAAUUUUAUUCAAACAUUGUAAUUUGAUUUAAUGGAUCAUUCAAAUUAUAAACUACAAUCAUGAACUCAUGGUAAUUUGAUGCAUAUUAUGAAUUUACAAUCUAUCAUAUAUGUACUCAAUCACUGUCUAAUCUUACCGGUCCGAGGUCAAGCUGUCAAGAGUCGAGUCGAGGAUGAUGAGCGGACGAGGAGGGGGAAGGCAGGAGCCGAGGCGAGGCAGCUGUUUUGCCGUCACCGUUGCCGCUCGGAGCCUCGGAAUCACAAGCAGCAAGUUGUGUCGCCGCCUCGCCAGUCACUGUGCAUGGAAUUGGGAUGGACGUCUCAGCAGUUGUCACGGCGCGGAAUCAGAAUCGCAGAGCAGCCAGCUAGCAGCAGGGCCAAGUUAGGCCAUCGCACAGUCCAAUAGUGCCCCACCCCUGGCAAUCUAGCAUGACCUUGCUGAUCGAUCUGCCUAAUUGGGCUAUUGGCAGUUGCAAGCUAUAGCUGGGCAAUUGGAAGUGGGCCUCAUGUUUAUAUGGGAAAAAAAUUGGAGGCCCUAUGCAAUCGCUUAUUUGGCACGUACCCAUCGACAUGCCUGCUAUUUUUAGUAACAAGGUCGCUGAUUAGGACAAUUCAGCGCACACCAUUUGAUAUAGUCUCCUCCUAUUAGAAUGUAUGCUAAUAAACAGAAGGCAUCAUUUACUCUUCUCUCUCUCUCUCUUAUCUACACUAGAAAAAAUAUCCGUGCGUUGCAACGGAAAGGUUAUUUUAAUCAUAUUAUUAUUUUUUAGAUAAGUUAAUCAUCUUAUUAUUAUACGGUUUAGUUAAGGUGAAAUUUACUAUGGGAAUUCACUUGGAUUUGUUUCUUUUACAAAAUUAUGAGCUGUAAUUAGAAGUUUGAUUAUCUCAAGUAAUUAUCAUGUAUGUUUUUUUAAAGAGAUUUCUUAUACGACUCUUUUUGUAUUUUCAAAAGCGAACGAACUUAAAAAAACGACUCAAACACAGAUCUGUAUUUCCAAAAGCGAGUGAUUUAAAAACCGACUCAAACACGAAUGACGUACCAAAACACCGGCAAAAAUAUCUUUAAUUUUUGUAAAAGUAAAGUGCAUAUGUGGUCCUUAAACUCGUAAGGUUGUGUCAUCUAGGUCUCCAAAGUCUCAAAAUACAGAUUCAGGUCCCAGAACUUGUCAAAGUGUAUCAUUUAGGUCCCAAAUCGAUAUAGCCCCUUUAGGAUCCUACGCGGCGCUGAUGUGUCACACCACAUGAACGUGACGUGUCAUUUUCUCUUUUUUCUUCUUCUUUUCUUUUUCUUUUUCUUUUUCCUUUUUGUUUUCUUGUCAUUCUUCGGUUUUUCUUUCCUUUCUUAUGCUCCGGUCGCAGAGAAAGGAGAAGAAAGAAAAAAAAAGGAGAAGAAAAAUAGAAGAACAGAAGAAAAAGGAAAAAGGAAAAUUUUUAAAUGGGUUCCGUUUGUCACGUUAUGUCCGUGUGGCAUGCCACAUCAGCGCCAUGUAGAAAGGGGCUGUGGUGAAUUGGGACUUAUAUGACACACUAUGACAAGUUCUAGAAUUUGGAUAUACAUUUUAAGAGUUUAAGGAUCUAGAUGACACACCAUUAUUAGUUUAAGGACUACCUGUGCACUUUACUCUUUUUAUAAUAGUAGGGAUAUACAAUUAAAAGAAUAUGUUUGAUAUUUUUUCUAAAUGAUAACGUCACGCCAUUGUUCAUAUCUAAAAUAAGAAGAUACAAAAUCAGAAAAGAAUACGAUCGAUCAUGGCUUGGAUUUGUUCUUGUAGUCGUAUCGCUGCGCAAGGUAGACGAACACGGCCACCUCCAGAGCGGCGAGCGCGGCGAGCAACCAGUAGAAGUAGUCCAGGUGCGCGCGGUUGAGGUCGUCGGCGAACCAGCUCUCUCCGCCGCCGCUCCUCGCCGCCGUCGCCCAGUCGAUCGCCGCCACGAGCGCGCCGCUGGCGUAGCUCCCGACGCCCAUCACGCCCUGGGACACGGCGAGCCCCACGCUGUGGAGCUCGCCGGCCACCUGGUCGUAGAAGAACUCCUCCAGCCCGAUCACGGCGAGCACCUCCGCGACGCCGAUCAGCACGUGCUGCGGCACCAGCCACCACACCCCCAUCGGCACCGUCGCGCCCGGCCGGUUGACCAGGCCGGCGUCGCGGGCCACGCGGAGCCGCCUCGCCUCGACGAGCGCCGCCACGGCCAUGGCGAGGCAGCCCGUCGCCAUGCCGGCGCCGAUGCGCUGGAGCAUUGUGAUGCCGCCGCCGCCGCCGGUGAGGCGCCUCGCGAGCGGCACCACCAUGCGGUCGUACACCGGCAGCACCGCGAUGUAGGUGAAGCUGACGAGGCACUGCAGCCCCGCCGACGGCAAGACGAGGCCGCCGCCGCCGCCGCUGCCGACGCGCCGAUCCAUUGUGCUGCUCUGCUUGGUGAACAGGGUGGACACCUGCGAGACGACGACGGCGAACACUAUGCUGCUCAGCCAGAUCGGAAGAAGCUUCACAAGGAAGAAUCCCCUGCCGCCAUCGCCAUGGCCAUCCACCACCACCACCACCUCCUCUUGUGGUUCUAGAAGCUGUUCGGCGGCAUCCUUUCGGUUUCGGGAGAAGAAGAAGAAGAACCUCGCCGUCCACGCACGACGCGCCGCGGCGGCGCCGUCGAUGGCAGGUCGCUCGGCGCGGCGGUACGUCCCCGUGCCGAGCAAGAAGACGGCGAGGUAGAGCACCAUGGUGGCCCAGCACGCGGCGAACCCGACGGUCCAGCCGACGUUCUCGUCGACGUAGCUGAGCAAGGUGGUGGAGAUGACGUAGCCCCAGGAUAUGGAGAAGUGGUACCAGUUGAAGUAUGAGCUCCGCGACGCAGGCCGCCGCGCGCCGCCGCCGCCGCCGCCAUCGUCGUCACCCUCUCUCUCGAACUGGUCGGCGCCGAACGCCUCGGCGCACGGCGUGUGGAAGCCCUGCGCCAGAGCUAGCAGGUAGAGCGCGGCGUAGAAGACGACGACGACGGCGCCGCCGGCGGACGACGACGGCGGCGACGUGGCUCGCUGCGCCGCCAUGGACGACGACGACGCCGUGAGCAUCCCCAAGCUGAGCAGGUAGAGCGCGCUGGCGACGAUGACGGCGCGGUACCGGCCGAGGCCGGAGGAGUCGGCGGCGAGGCCGCCGGCGAGCGUGAGCACCAGCACCGUCCCGCCCCAGGCGUUCGCCGCGGUGGCCGCCGCCGCCGUGGACAUGGCCAUCGGGCCGGUGAGGUACAGCAUCAGGUUGCCUUGCACGCCGAAGAACCCAAUCCGCUCCAAGAACCCGACGACUGCGCCAUGGCCAUGCAUGCACACGUCAGCAACAAAUUAAGCCUGGCUGAGAGAGAUGAUGUCAUCACUAAAGCCUGAGAAGCCGCCACUUACCGACGAGGAAGAAGGCGGCGCGCCAACCGCCGCGGCGGGCGUCGCCGUCGUCGGGGUCGGCGGCGGCGGCGCAUGGCUCGGGACGACGUGCAAGGAAGCCGCCGGACUCCAUGGCUAAUGGCGCAACGUGCAGCUGUGUCAAGAUUAUAUUUUAUCGUGCUAGCUGUGCACUGUGCAGCAUGGGCUAGUACAUUUCAAGGCCAGAAUAUCAGUAUUAGGCCUGGUUAACAAAAAAAACAUUACAUCCAAUCUUUAGAUAUAUACAUGAAGCAUUAAAUAUAGAUAAAAACAAAAUCUAAUUAAUUAAUUGUACAGUUUGCAUGAAAAUUGCGAGACAAAUCUUUUGAGCAUAAUUAGUCCAUGAUUAGCUAUAAGUGCUGCACUAAAUUAGGCUUAACAGAUUCGUCUCGCGGUUUUCAGACGAGUUAUGAAAUUAUUUUUUUUCAUUCGUGUAUUACCUUCUGACAUUCGGUCAAACGUCCGAUGUGACACUCAAAUAUUUUCUUUUCGCGAACUAGGCCUUAGCAAUGCUUCUUUUUCCUUUUUUCCUUUUACAAUAUGUCUAGAUCAGAAUACCAAUGAUGCCUAGAGCCGAGUGAAUAAGACAUAAAGAAAUAGUUAAUAUAUGUCACUGUAUUUAGCUAUCAGUACUGACAAGUACUACCACCACCUAAUAUCUGGAGUGGCUGUCUUUGUACUGAAAUUAGUUGGGCCCGCCACCAAGGGUCUACUCCUUCCGUCUCAAAAUAUAAGAAGUUUUGGUUAAAUGGAGUACAUUUUACUACUAUAAAUCUGGACUGUCUGUAGGGAUGGCAACGGGGCAGGGCGGGGCCGGGUUGGGCUGGAACGGCCCCGCUCCCGACCCCCGACUUCACCCCCUGCCCCCGCCCCCGGUCCCGACUGGAGAUGCGGGGCUAAAUCUAGCCCCGUCCCCGACCCCUCCGUGGCCCCGCACCCUGACUGGGGCCCGCAUUGAAUAAAAUCUCCAUCCCAUCAGCAUAAGAAAUACAAGACAGCUAUCAAUUCGGCAAGAACAAAAAUGGUACAAAAUUCACACACCAUCAAAAAUAGCAUAAUUGUACAUAAUUGACUCUCCGAACGGUGGCCGCGCCUGUGCGCCGUGCGGCUCGCCGGCCGCCGUGCCUGUCCCCUCGCGGCUCGCCGGCCACAGCGCUUCCCCUCGCGGCUCGCCGACCACAGCGCCUGUGCGUUGCGCCGACCGCCGCGCGGCUCGUCGGCCACCGUGCCCUGCGCACCGCCCGUGCGACGUGCGUCGUCGGCACUCGGUAGACCGGAGGGAGAGCGGGAGAGGGUAACCGGAGAGGGGAGAGGAGGGGAGGAAAGAGGAGGGGAGCUGGGGAUGGGAGAGGCCGAGAGGGCGACCGCCGUGCCCUGGCGACCUGCAUUGUGAAGCGCCGCCGCCGUCGCCUAUGUGUGAGACGGGAGGGGAGAUGGGGUUGGGGAGAGACUAGAGAGAGAGCUAGGGUUUUGUUUAUAUAUGUCACUAUUUUGUUGUAUUGGGUUCUAUUGGGCCUUUUAUGCGCUACAUUUUAAGAGUUUAAUAUACAUCCCCCGGGGCCCUGCGGGUGAAAUGUCUCUCCCGUCCCCUCCCCGCCCAAAUACAGGGCCCGGCCCCAACUCCCCGCAGGGGACCCGGCCCCGCGGGGGAAAUUGCCAUCCCUAACUGUCUUACUGUCUAGAUACAUAGGACUAGGAUCUGGACGGACCGAGUAUUUGAUAAGGCUUCAACUUCUAAAUUUUUCUUCAGGAUUUAUGUCUAGAGUGAAGUUGUGGAGCAUAAACUCAGCUCCAGCUCUCUAGUUCAUUUUCUAGAGUACUCCAGCCUAUUUCACUCCCUUUUUGACGGAGCUGAAACCGUUUGGCUGUGCUUCAUUGGAGCUGAGACCGUACCCUCACUUUAUUAAACUAGGAAAUGAAUUUUAAACUCCCAAUGGGAUAUUGUUAAAUAUUUUUUUUAAAUGUUAGCAGGAUAGACAAAUAUUUGAUAUAUUAUUUCACAAACAUACAAGUUAAAUUUGACUUCUACAUAUUACAUUAAAUAAAUAACACAUUAAAGUAUAGCUUAGUCAAAUUUGUCUUACAGUUAAAUUUAAAUUUACAUAUCGGUAGUGAUUUAUCAGAUAUUAAUUUAAAUUGUUUUAUUAUUAUUUGGAUGAUAUAUAAACAAUGAAUGAUGUGGUCUGAAAAGUUUAGAAUCAUCCCGUAUAAUUGACACGUGACUGACAUAUCCCAUCUGUUUUCUGAUCAUUUCAUUUACUGUUCACUGUUCAAUAAUUAUAACCAAACCAAACCGACCAUGAAUAGUUGCAUAGAUAUAGUUUAAAUCAAAAACUCAACCAAAGGACCGUAAAAACUCACACCAUCUCUCCACAAGGCAAAUUUAAAAAGUUGUGCUCCCGGUGACACGAUCGAGAGGGUGGUGAGCAGCGGACGAUCGAUUACUUCUCUUUCACGUACCAGAUACUUCCUCCGUUUUACCAUCUAAAUUAUUCUUAUAUUUUCCAUAUUUAUAUUGAUGUUAAUGAAUCUAGACAUCCGUAUAUCUGUAUAGAUUCAUUAACAUCAAUAUAAAUGUCAGAAAUGCUAGAAUAACUUACAUUAUAAAACGGAGGAAGUAACAUGAAAAAAAAUUCUCACAAUUUAUUAAAUAUAACUGGUAAAGAUUGUUCUAUAAUAAACACGCUCAAUGAUUUGAGAUGAGCUCUUCGACCUGUAUCACAAGAGAUCACGACCAGAAUAAGGGUGUGUUUGAAAAGGAGGGGAUCGAGAAGAUUGGAAAGAUACGUAAAACGAGGUGAGCCUUAGCACAUAAUUAAUUAAGUAUUAGCUAUUUUAAACUUCAAAAAUGGAUUAAUAUGAUUUUUUAAAGCAACUUUCCUACAUAAAUUUUUUGAAAAAAACAUACCGUUUAGUAGUUUAAGAAGCGUGCACGUGAAAAACGAAACAAUCUUUCUCUCUUUCUCCUGCGCUCGAAUGCAGCCUAAGAGUAGUAACACGUGGUUUCGGGAAUACAUAUACUAUUAUAUCACAUCACUGCUCACUCUCUGUCAUUACUGCUUGAUGUUAGAGGAUACGAACCCGCACAAAAGAUACGGGGACACGACGAACUCAAACCUGACAUAUCCUAUUAAUAAUUAAUUAUGAAUUAAUAUCGCCUGAGGGCAACUCAUUACCCACUCGACAAAAUCGAAAAGCACAAAACGAACUGUGAACUAAUUUAUUAGGUAAGGGCUAGACCAAUUAUGCAAGUCAUAUCAAUUCCAACCACCGAUCGACAUGCAACACAUCAAAAAAUAAUAAACCAGUAUAUAUAUAUAUAUAUAUAUAUACGGCUCUAAUGCUACUAAUUGCCUUGACUAAUUAAGCACCUCACAAAAAAAUAAUAAUAAACAGAUGCGGCUUCUUUGCUAUAAUUUCCGCACUAACGAUCUUUGCUAAUCAUACAUAUUUUUAAAAUAUGGGUGAUAUGAUCUUAAAUUGUUUAGUUAAUUACAAAUAGAAUAACAACGGAAACAAAAAAAAUCACAUGUUGUUGCCUUAAGUUUAUGGGUCCAUGGAAUUUUUUAUUUUUAUACAUAUAUACGAGGUUUGUAUGUAUACUUACCGAGUUUUUUUUAACAACGUAGUCACUCACAGCACACGCACACUCACCCCUAUGAACGCACGCACGUAAACCCUACCCCUAUGAGCAUCUUUGAAUACUGGGCCGGCAAAUCCUUAAGAUUGACGAAGUUACCAAGUUACCACAGGCGCCUCGCUGUCGACGGAUAAAUCCUAGAAAAUUCGCUCUGUACACAUACAUAUAAAUCUUUUUUACAUUUAAAGUGUAUACAUACUUAUAUAAAGUUUAUACAUAUGCAAAGAUUUUUAUAAGUGUAUAUACAAAGUUUAUAUUGUAUAUUAAUGUAAAGUUCAAAUCACCCUCUACAUUAUGCAGUAGUACAAUUUACCCUUUCGUAGCCCAGUCGUCUUCAUCGGCGUCGUCGCACUCUAGCUAUGCUAGUACGUAGUAGGAGCGGAUCUACAGUUAAAGGGCUCUAGCUAUGCUAGUACGUAGUAGGGGUGGAUCUACAGUAAAAAGACCGGUGUUAAGUAAUACCGAUGACUUUAUGUUAGAGUUCGCAGCUCGGCCCACCAACCGUGGACCACCCAGAUCACAUUGGGCUUGCUCCACCCCAGAUUCAACCGGAGCCACAAUUUUAGGUCCUGGACCUACACAACCCAACAGACUAGUCUCUUGGGUGAGGAUUGCUCCCACCUUUUAAGUCAUACUCCCCAUCAUCAAUUACCGAUCACUGGUGGAGAAACCAUCUUUGGUCGGUCGGCCGAAAUCCACAAUAGUCUCGGUUCCACUAAAAACCGGUUCAAAAGAUGAUCUUUAGUCCCGGUUCAAAAGGUUAGAGCUACUUUUUGAUCUUUAGUCCCGGUUGGUAACAUCAACCGGGACUAAAGAUUAUUUUUAGUCCCGGUUUAAAAGACGGCAGGUGGUGUCAGACCCCUCUUUAUCUUUAGUCACGGUUGGUGACACCAACCGGGAGGUGUGUGUAAAUAAAAUAACUUAUUAAUAAAAUAAGAUAAAAUAAAAUAACUUAUAAAACAAAAUAAGUUAUUUAAAAUAACUUAUUUAAAUAAAAUAAGUUAUUAACUUAUUUUACACCAACCUAACACCAAUCGACAUGCACCGUGCGAGAUCGAGAGGACCAAGGCGCACGGGAGGAUCAGUUAAUAAGUUCUGACAUUUAUCUCCUUCUCUCCUCACUCACCCCAUCUCUUCCUCUUCCUCCUCCUCCCAUCUCUUCCUCUUCCUCUUUCUCCUCCCAUCUCUUCCUCUACCUCCUCUGGAUCCGCCUCCUUCCCUCUCCUCCCCACUUCUCAACCUCCUCUGGAUCCGCCCCCUCCCGUCUCUUCCCCACUUCUCAGGCGGCGGCGGCCGGGCGGCCGCGGAGGCGGCCUCGCGCGGCCGGGAAGCGCGGAGGCGCCCUCACGCAGCGGCCAGGCGGCGACGGAGGUGGCCUCGCGUGCCCUCACGCAGUGGCCGGGCGGCGAGGCACAGCGCGCGGCGGGCGGUGGGGUAGCGCGCGGCGCGCGCGGCGGGGACGCGCCGGCUCUCCUUUCUUUUUUUUUUUAUAAUUUGUGAUUGAGAGAUGUAUAAUUUCUUUUUUAGAAUUUGUGAUUCAUUGCAUGGAUCUGAGAUGUAUAAUCGAUCUGUGAUGCAUUUGAUUUGUGUGUAAUUUUUUUAAGAUUUGUGAUGUAUUUGAUUUGUGUGUAAGUAACUUAGGAUUUGUAUUUGUGAUGUGAAUGAUUUGUGAUGUUACUUUGAAUUUGGAGAUUUGGGGUUUGAUUUAGGUAUAUGCAUGACACUCGAUUUGGGGAUUUGUUGUUUGAUCUGGGUAUAUACAUCCCACUUGGGAGAAAAUAAAAAGAAAAUAGACCAACCGGGACUGCCCCUAUCCUCUCUUUAGUCCCGGUUGGUAGCAUUAACCGGGACUAAAGAUCCCUCUCUUUAUAUCGAUCUUUACUCCUGGUUAUUUCACCCGGGACUAAAGAUAGCGAUCUUUAGUCCCGGAUUCGUAGUCCCAGUUUUCCACCAGUGGAUGUGGGACUAAACCCAACACUUUUGGUAAAACCUAUAGUGAAACUCUUUAUCCAUAUGUUAUAACAUUAUGAUCUAAGCAUAAUUAGCAUAUUAAGACAUCGAUAGAUAUGUUAUAUGACACCAACGAAUCGAUUUUCUGGAUCCGCCACUGGCACGUAGCAUUGCAACGAGCUUUACCAAUGAAGAAGAAGAAGAUUUAUGAUGAUGACUAGCAUGCAUGCAAGUAGUUGAUUUAAUUAGCUGCUAUGUCCGUCUUGUGCUUUUUUCUUCACGACGACUGUCUCUGUCCGAAUCCGUCUCGUGCAUGCUCCCCGUGUGAUUGAGGCAUGCGACGCCGGAGACGCCAUCGUGGCCAGCCGUCGCCUGGGGAUUACCUCCUUGUCGGCUAUAUAUCGCGUAGUCACCGCUGCCUCGUCUUCCCAUCCUGGGUUCCUGUACUGGCAGCUGUGGCUUGCAAAUUACUCCCUCUGUUCUAAAUAUUUUACACCGUUGAUUUUUUAACACAUAGUGGAUCGUUCAUCUUAUUCAAAAACUUUUGUGAAAUAUGUAAAACUAUAUGUAUCCAUAUAAGUAUAUUUAACAAUGAAUCAAAUGAUAGGAAAAGAAUUAAUAAUUACUUAAAUUUUUUUUAAUAAGAUGAAUGGUUAAACAUAUUUAAAAAAGUCAAUGGCAUCGAAUAUUUAGAAACGGAGGAAGUAACGGUCAGAUAUCUAGCCUCCUCUGUCCCGGCAUAGAGAGAGGUGGCAGCUACCUCGCCGCCGCAACGGGAGCACUGCCUUCGUUAUUGCUGAAGCCUUGGUGAGGUGGAAUCGUCCUGCUCCUCUAGCUUCUACUCCCGCCCGCACUCGCGGCCCCAAUUAUCGUCCGUUGAGGCUGAGGAUAAACACGCAUCACUGACAAUUGGGCCUCACCGAUUUUUUAUUUGUAUUUACUGACUAGAUUGCAACUUGUACACGUAGGUCGAAAACCACUCUCGAAUGAGUUAGGAGAUAAUUCGUUUAGAGUUAAGAGUUCAGGGUGUGAAAUAUUGGUAUUUUAAUUAGUUUAGGGGGUAAAUCGUACGACAUAAGUUUAGAGAGGCAACUUGAACUUUCACCUUCUUUAUAUAAUAUAUGUAUAAAUUUUAUAUAUACACAUCUACGUAUAGGGCAGAAAGAUGACCGUGCACUCGCUUGUGGUGCCACGCAAGGGAGGGGGACGAUAGGUGGGUCCCAACAUGUGAGUGAGGCUUGAUCGGGUUUGAAGGGUAGUAUCGUACUUUCAUAACUGUUUCACUCUUAAAUUUAUUCGGAUAUAAUAAAAUAAUAUUACGGGUGUCUAGUAAAUAAUUACUACUUUUUUGCAGUGCCCUAGCACAGAAACGUGUUCUUGCGGUGUCCCCUAGAUAGUUACAUUUUUUUUAUAUCAUGUAGCAAAUUUUGCACAUAUUAGUUUGAGCUAUUGACUUAGAAGAAAGAUUUAUUGGUUGAAAUCGAUGGUUAGAUUUGUUUCGUCAAAAUUUAUAGUAGUUUUUUCUAGUUUAUUAGAGGGACUCUCGCCCAGCAUGACCCUGUCGACCCCUGAUCCAGAUCAAUACACAGGACAUUAUACAACAAGAGAUAUUUGCCAGUAAUUAGACUUGCAUACUUGAAUGUUAAUUAUUAUCACGUACUGCAUUGUUAAAAUCAACAUCAAUUCAGCGCAUGCAAAGCACAUUCCCAAAUGCCGUAAACACGCAAGAAGCCAUGAACACGCACGCGUGGCUUUGCAUCCAUUAAUUUCUCCGAUAAAUGAAAUGCACGCCAGUAGUUGCGAGAUACAGUAGCUACAUCAUCAACUUAUUUGGUGGAAAUGGAGAUCGAGCAGUGAACUCGAUCGAUCGAUCAGUGGCUCCCCGGGGGACGGUAGAUCGGAGUCGGCGAUGGCGUGCCGUACGCCGGCGAGACAGGGGGCCAGAAAGGCGACGGCGAUCCGUAUCCCGGCGCCGUGGGAGGUGGGCAUGCCGUCGCCGGCGUUCCGUAUUCCGGCGUGGAUGGUGGGCACUCCGGCGCCGGCGUUCCGUAUGCCGGCGUGGAAGGAGGAUAUUCCGGCGCCGGCUGGCCGCAUUCCGGUGCCGGCGUGGGAGGAGGAGGGCACUCCGGCGCUGGCUGGCCGUAACCCGGGUCGGCAGGGGGGCAUUCCGGCGCCGGCUGGCCGUAUCCCGGCGGCGUGCUGGGAGGGGAGCAUGAGCAUCCCGGCGCCGGCGUGCCGUACACCGGCGAGGGAGGCGGCUGGUACUCCGGCAUGGGCUUCCUGUGGAACAUGCGAUGGCGCCUGUGGCAGGGGAAGCAGAUGGCCACCGACGAGCACUCCGGCGAGGACGACGUCGACGACGGGAGGUGCGUCUUGCCGGCGACGGCGACGAAGGUGCCCGUCUCGCCCUCCGACGACAGCGGCUCGAUCUUGGAUGGCUCCUGGCCGGGGCACGGCGCGUCGGUCGCCGCGCUGUGCAGCUGCGCGACGCAGUCGGCGCCGCGGAGGUCGGCGGCGAGCGGCACGGCGAACGCGCCCGCGCCGUCGAGCUCGCCGACGGCCUUGCUCUCGUACUCCUCGCUGCUGCCGUUCUUGCACUUGAUCGCCACCUUAAGUCCUGUCAACAAAAUGAACAAAAAUAAACACAACAUUUUUGUGCAUUUAAUAGUUGCUUUGAUUGGUGAUCAUGCAAAUGCACAGUUAGAUGACACAGUUUCUUUUAAUCAAAGCGAAUCGGUUACAGUGACUGAUCCAAGAAUUUUCUUGAGCCUAGGUAAAGCAUAAUCCUAUGGCCUGCUAGUAAGUUUUUGGCCCAAGCAAUAUCAUCUGUGAUAACAGGCCCACACAUGUCAAUAGGUGUCUGUUACAACAUCUGUCGUUAUGGUAGAGGAUGUGCGCACUUUUAGAUCUAAACAUAACAAUGUUUAUAUAAUCGACUCGAUGGUUAUUUUGUACCCAAAUAUCGCGUAUAUUCUACUUUUAAUUUAUGAGAGGUGUCAAUUGUAAUCUUUGUCAAAUACCACUGUCCCAUCAUCAAGAGUGUACUCCGUAUAUACUCCCUCCGUUUCGAAAUGUUUGACGCCGUUGACUUUUUAUCACAUGUUUGACUAUUCGUCUUAUUCAAAAAAUUAAGUAAUUAUUAAUUCUUUUCCUAUCAUUUGAUUCUCAUAUAAUUUUACAUAUCUCACAAAAGUUUUUGAAUAAGACGAACGGUUAAACAUGUGCUAAAAAGUCAACGGUGUACAUGUGCUAAAAAGUCAACGGUGUCAAACAUUUCGAAACGGAGCGAGUAGUUGCUUGCAUUCGUACUUACCCUUGAAAGCGGUCUCGGCGUCCAUGUUCUUCCUGCCGCAGCCGGCGCACUUGGCCGCGCCGACGACGACCGACGCCGUCGCCGUCGUCUCACCGGCGGCCGCCGCCGCCAUCAGUAUCAUCAGCGCCGCGCCAUGGAGGAGCAGCCAGCUUGCUCCCAUGGCGAAGCUACAGUUGUGUGUGGCUCUCAAUAGUAGUUGCACUGUUUGCAGGUGAAGAGCAAGGGCGUCCAAUGAACUGCUUAUAUAGGCGAUCAUUGCAUAUAUAAUUGCAUUACUGGAUGUUAAUAAUUCAGCACUGAUUAUUUAUUUUAUCUAUUUAUUUACAGCUCGAUCGAUAUGAUGAUCCAUGGAGUUAAGAUGUGCCACGAAAAGAGUUAAUGUCAAACGUACGUAUAGCGUAGGAGUGCUACAGUAAGCUACAUUUUGUUUAGUUAAUUUACCAGCGAAUUAAAUCUCACUGGCAGUGAUGAAAUGGUAGAUAGUAUAGAGUAUAGAGUAUAAAUAUACGUAUGCAUACUAGUAGUAUGUACUUUGGCUAUGUAUAAUUAAAUGCCGGCUCAAUUCAAUAUGUUGUCGCCGUUGUCAUGAUCUCUUAUAUCGUGAGCUACGCUUCUAUGUAAUAAGUAGAACUCUAGUUCUAGUUUGUGUUCAUCUCAGUUUCGGGGGAAAAUCCAGCAGUACCCACUAUACAUAUAAAAAUCUCAUCGGGAGAAAUUCAAAUUGUUAAAAAAUAUUUCCCGAAAUUGAAGCAGUUCAAAAGAGCUUUAAUAGUUCCAAGAAAUUUUAGUUGUCACUACAUUGUUGAUUAUAAGCUGUAACGGUUUACCAACAAACAAAAAUAAUUUAUAAAUAAAACUUAUAUAUAUAUAUAUAUAUAUAUAUAUAUAUAGAUAUACAUUCUUAGCUGUUUAAAUACAAAUGUUGUAAAAUAAACUACCGUUAACCCAAAAAUCUGUCCCAAAAUUAAAUUUUGAAGUUUAAAUUUUGGUUUAUAAGCUAAAGGAUGAACAAUAGGAGUGCUUAUUUUUUUUUCCUUGGACCAGAAAAAUCUCAAGAGGGCCCGAGAUAGCAAGAUCCUGCAGAGAAUCUUGCAUGACCACACAUAGGAGAGUAGAGGAUGUAGUUAUGUUGGAUGCAUGAUCGAAGCACAUGCAACGAUGAUCGACGACGUCGUGGGGUUGACUGUCAUCUUCAAUAUGUUCAUGUGUGUGCAUUCAACCAAGUUGGUGUAAAUGUACGCAUUGUACAGUCUUGAUCUCCAAUAAUACAGAUCUACGGCUGUGUUUAGUUCAGCGCAAAGUUUGGAUUUUGAUUGAAAUUAGAGAUGAUGUGACUGAAAAGUUAUGUGUGUAUGACAGGUUGAUGUGAUGGAAAAGGACUGAAGUUUGGAUCCAAACUUUAGAUCUAAACACAGCCUACAUUUAUUUAAACCCUUCUAAUCCAUAAUUCCCUUUAAGCUUCAGGUCCAGAAGUACAUGUUCCCAAAGGGAAAAAGAUUGAAUUUAAGUACGACCGAUACCUAUAAGAUUGAAUUGAAGUACUAUGCCUAUAUUAAUAACUAUUCCUAGUAGGUAAAACGUACUAGCCUUAAUUAAUUAGACAAUGUCGUCUCAAAUGAAACCACAGUUCAAAUUAAAGAAUGACCAAUCUUCAUACAGUGAUAAUAAUCAAGGCUCAAAGCCAACUCAACCUUUAGAAAAGAAAACUCCUUUUUUGCAAUUUAAAGAACUUCCAAAUAAACUUUUGUGAGGCAAGGAAGUUUAUAUUAAGAAUCAUAUCAAAAUGUUUCCUUUGAUUAUUGCUAGAUCAUAAAGUUUAGGAAAUCACAACAUUAGUAUGUCCCGACCUUGCACAUUCCAUAAAGCGUCCCAACAACAAAAAAAACCCCACCAAUUCAACCAUCAUCCAGCAAAUCAUUGUUUAAAAACAUUCUGGAAUUUUAAAUGUAUGUAAACUACAACGAGCAAAGAGUUUCCUUAAAACAUUCCAACAAUAAAAACCCACCAGUUCAACCAUCAUCCAGGAAAUCAUUGUUUAAAAUAUUCUCACAUUUUAAAUGUAUGUAAGCUCAAACGAGCAAAGGAUUUCCUUCACAGCUAUGCCCGGAAGACAUCAAUUUCACGUCUUAAUAAUAAGAAAUAAGGAUGGGAUCAUUGAUCAUCCUGCACUUCCCUGUGGCCUCCUCUGGCACCUUACACUUCUCAACAAUGAUCCUCUGCAAUCUGGAGCUGCCUCCAGCUAGGGCUGCCACGCCUGCUGGAGUUACCUGAGAGCAGCGGAACACCCCACACGCCUCCAGCUGCAAGCAUCCUCUUGCAAUAUCUUCUAGGCCAACGUCGCUAAUCGCAUCACAGCGAAGCAUCAUGAGAUGUUUCAAUUUUCGGAAUCCUUCACCAACCUUUGCUAGUGUGGUGUCACCAAUUUUCUGAAGAACAGUGCAGGACCAUGAGGGGAAAAAUCAAUGCUUUAAUUGCUAUGCAUGAAGGUAGGAAAACAAACAUGACGAAUUCUAUAAACAAUUUCUGAAAUUAACUAAGACUAGAGGUCAUUUUAGAACAAGAAAAUCAAUAUCUUCUAUCUUAUGAUGUUGAGAGAGAGAGGGGAGACCUUGGUAUCACUUAUAUUCAGAUGGACUAGAUCAUGGCACUCUCUUAUAAUGGUAGUAAGCCCAUAAUCAGUAAUUUGAUUGCACCCACAUAUAUCUAACCUCUCAAGGAAACGACAUUGAUCAACCGUAGCAAGCCCGGUAUCAUUUAACCUGUAAAUGAAAGCCAAAUGUUAGCAGAUCUUUGUCAUAAUAGAUAGAACAAAAGUUUUUAUACUCAACAAAAAAAAUGUUUAGAACAGAAUGAUGUCAGAAUGCUUUGAAGAAAAUGUUAUAAAAUGGAAAAAUUAAUGACAUGCAACUCAACUGUAUACCUUUCACUUUGAACUCAGGAAGUCAAUUUAACUUUUGAUUGGAACUAUCAUCUAAGAAAGGCUAACGAAUUAAAGUUAUCUUUGAUUAGAACAUGUAAAAAAGUGAAUCAUGGAUUCAAGUACUUACCUCCCAAGACCAUGGAGGGUCAACUCUCUAAGUUCUUUACAAUUCUCACCUACAGAUAGUAAUGCUUCAUCCCCGAUCUGCAGAGUAAAACUUCAACUUAAUAUAUACAAGCAAAGUUACAAUGAAAUAAAAUAAAAACAUUUUCUCAUUCCGUAUUCCGGUUUGGGAGCAGCCGAGCAGCAAACUCUGGUGUCGGCUUGCCACAUGUUGGUCUUGGGAUAAACAUUAGCCUAAUUGGCAAAUAUGAAAGACAACUGUAACCUGGCAAAUGCCAGAGUUGACAAAGCAGGAGAACAUUACCACAUCGAAUGAGGGAGAAGGGAUGUGGUUAAGACUCAGGAAAAGAUUCUACUCAGAGUCAUGUGCUAAAUCCUCAUCAACAAAGCCGUUAUGAGACCAUGAUGACUCAGCAUUCCUUCAUCGCUCUUUGGAUCUCUCCCUUCAACAGGAGGGGGGCUCAGGAAAUACUUGUGCUUGUGGACAGAAAAGUUGCUACUUGCUACAAACUGCCAGGGAAUGUGGAGUCGGCAUGUGACAGUUUUGCCUCGCCAAAGGGAUUCUUUGAUUCAUCAGCAAGGAUGACAAAAAUCCUCGUCCAUGAGAUCGGUGGCAUAGUCUAUGACAUCAAGGGCCCUACCCAGCAAUGACUUUUGAUGGUGGCUCCAUGGACACAAUGGCAGGGUCAUCCCCACGACAAUGGCAGGGUCUAUUCUCACAACAGAUGGUGCCAACAAUCCAAUACUGAGAAAUUCAAAAUUUCAAAUAAAGGGAGACUGACUUCAGUUACUCCCUUGGAAAUGUUGAGACUACAAUGAAACUUUGUUACAGGAAAUUUAUGUAAAAAAAAGGACUUCAGGAUCCUCCCCUUGGAGGUGUUUAUGGCUUCCAUAUGUAUAGCCUCUAAAGGGACAAAUAGGCACCUUUCAUCAACAUGCAUCUUUUGUUCAAUGGGCAUGUCUCUUGAGAUUGAACCCGUAUUCCACAUGUACUGUAUUAUUAUUUUGUAUAAUAAUAACAACAAAAAUAAGGAUUUUUAUUCUUAUUAUAUACUUCCUCCGAUCCAAAAUGUAGCUACCUAGUAUAGAAUGGGACAUUACCUAGUACUAUGAAUCUGGACAGGCUCUCCAGAUUCAUAGUACUAGAUAAUGUCCCAUCCUGUACUAGGUAGCUAUAUUUUGGGACGGAGGAAGUAUUGAUUAACAAUGUAAAUUAUAAUACUGGGACAAGUCGUUGAUGAUCACUAUUCAGAUAAAUAUAGUGAUCGUACAAAAGCUGUGAUAUGCAGAAUCACUAUGUGAAGACACAAGGUGCUCUGCAAGAUCACCCUAAGACAAACUAUCAUAGUGAUCUGUAUGACUUAGUGAUAACGUAUCAUCAUUCGUAUGAUCAAAACAAGUGACUGGAGAAAGCAUGCAUUAUUCCUCGCUAGCCAUGCCCAUUUCCCUAUACUGGUACAAAUCCAUCACCUUGAAGUGAUUGGAGACAAAGUCUUGAACAUCGCACCAAAAGAAAAGGAAAAUUGGGCGGGGAGAUGGAAGUAAAAUUUUGGUGGUAUUAAAAUGUACCACAAACUUUUAGUGUUAUAAAUCUGAAGGUAAAUUUUGAUGGUAUAGAUCAUUUUUUUCUUAAAUGUAAAAUCAAUCUUCAUAAAUGUAGAUUAAUACAAACUAGAAAUGUACCUGAGGACAAGAGAUGAUAGAAAGCUCUCUCAAGUUCUUGCAGCCUUGAGCUAUGUGAGAUAUGGCCUCAUCGCUUAUUUUACAACAGUUGGCCAAACAGACAGACUUGAGAAGGAAGCAACAUCGACCAAAUCCGAGAAAUGCAUUAUUGUCAAUCCACAGACUGUUUAGAGUGAGCCCUAGAAGAUUUCUGCGUUUAACAUGUACAAACACAAAAGAAAAAAAAUCAACAGUAUAUUGUGAAGUCUAGCUUGACAGUAGGACAAAGGCAAAAGUAAUUGCUUAGAGUAGUAGCAUGUAUCGCCCAAAACCUAUAUAAUUUAGAAUGACAAAAGCAGCUGAGAACCCAGUUCUUCAAAAUUUGCCCAUAAGAAAAUAACAGAGGCAUAGUAUUAUGAUAUUAUAAAUUACUAAUAUAUUCAAAAAGAGUGAAGGUUCUAGUUUAGAGAAUACGUGUCAUGUGCAUGCUAUGGGAAUUAGGCCUGAUGUGCUAAUCUCGUCACACCAAACCAGGUAAAAAAAAAUCGUUUUUAGACUACUCCGUUGCUAUCUAAGUUAAACAAGGUAAAAUUACACUACUUCAUAAAAUUGUUUUUACUAAAAAACUGUCUGUUCCUUAACCACGAGACUAAUAAGUUUAGGUUUCGACAGCACUUCAAUCAUUAUACCAGUAUAUUGCACACACUGACAUUUGUUAGACAUGUUGAUAAUUUGGGAAAGAGUGAAUUUCACAAAACCACACACCUUUUGACACUUGGCACUUAACUACAUAUAUUUUGAUAUUGAAGUCUCACAAAACUAUACUAUUAACAAAUGGGCCUACCUGUGAGAUGACAUGGAUGUUUAUCUAUACAUAUUUAGGCCGCGAACGUGGCAUUGUUGUUGUUCCACCUAGGAUGAAGUUCCCAAGUCUGCAUCCUAGGUGGAACAACCGCGCCAUCUCGCGAAUGGCCCAUUUCGUUGAUAGUGUAGUUUUGUGAAACUUUAAUACCAAAAUAUAUGUAGUUAAGUGCCAAAUGUCAAAGUAUGUGUAGUUUUCUGCAACUUGGACCAUAAAAUAUGUAGUUAUGUAAAAUUUACUCAUUGGGAAACAUUUGUGGAACACUUAACAGGGGAAACAAGUCCAAUACAUGUCUGGGAAUUGUUGAUUUUGUUCCAACUUUUUAUUUCUCUAAUCAUAGCUGGAUUCAAGAGAAUACGAACAAUUGGACUAACAUUAACCUUCCAUUUUGAGCAAACAUUUGAUAUGCAACUUAGAUUACAGCUGUUGUACAAACAUCAAAAUAACAAGUGGAUUGAAUAGGAAAUGUUGAAACUUUCAGGCUUAUUAAUUAUUUGUUACCGCAUAUUAGCACACCUUCAGUUUUCCUAAUCUCCAAUUUAAUUUAUCACAAAACAACGUGCAUAUUUUGUCAAAAGGAAUACAUUUAGUCCAAACCUCAACGGACUAGCAAAUAAUAAAAGAAAUCCUGUUUAUAUAUGUAUAAAUUGAAAAGUACAAGGUAGGAAGUAUGUUAACAAAAACAAACUUUGUACCAUGUCAAAAUAAAAAUUGCGCGAGUUGCAAUAUGUUAAGUAAUCAAGAAGAAACAUACAUGCAUCGCUGUCCAAUAUGCUCCAAUGCAGCACUUUCCAUAAUAUGGCACAUGUUAAUUUCCAUGUGUUGUAGCAUUUUACAGUUCUGGGAAACACGUUCAAUACUUCUAUCUGUGAAUUUGACCGACGAUUUGAUAAUUAGACUUUUCAGCUGCUUGCAUCCAUUUGCUAUGGAAAAAAGGCUCCUGCAGUAGCAAAUGAUUAGCAGUUGAAUAAAGCCCUAGGACAUCGCUCCAAAGAUAAGGGGCAUUACUGAAAAGAACAACAGAAGUCAAAGAAUGGUCAAUGCUUGCAAUAAGAGAAAAAGGGAACUGAAGUGAAAAUAAGUAGCCAUAUAUUCCUAGAAAAUAUACUACAACAAGGUAAGAAGUGCAAGCAGUAGGCAACUAGUCAUUGAUAAAUAUUUCACAUGUAUAACUUUCAUCAUUUACAGAUCAGUAGAUGCCAACCAUUCAAAUUUGCUAUAAGGUUUUAAACCUCAGUAACCAGUACUCCUUGUUUGAUUACCUUGUAGCAAAGCAUACUUGAAUCAGGCUUGUACUUAGCCUUAUAAGCAGUAUAAUUACAUUUUGGGUUUCUAUAUUGGCAAAUCUAAAAUUUGGUUUAUGGUUUUUUGAUAUUUCAUAGAGAAUUACAGUUGAAAAACAUAAUAAUUUUAAGCAACUAUUUCACAAUUUGCUUAACCUUUAAGAAAUAGUAUCUAAAUCUAGAGAAACUUGUCACAAAUAAAAGGAACACGCAUAUAAGGAAAUAAACACAACUUAGAAAGAAACAAAUUAUUCUAGUCCCGUCUAUGGUUCUUCCCAACUAACAUUGCACUGUGGCGGGAUAAACGGUGUCAAGUAACACAGUACUACUACAGCACAGUCAUGCAUUAGAAGAUGCAUACAUAAAAUGUCUUGACCAAUAUAUCCACUUUGAAUGGACCGUUUCAGGAGAUUACUCUUAAUAUGCUGAUUUUUAGAGAGAACUAACUUGCAAAUAUACAUACCAAUUAAAAAAUUUAACAACAUAUUGUGUGCCAUGUUCAUGUAGGUAUAAAUCUUAAAGUAAGUGGACAUGAGAAAACUAUAGAAAAGAAACUUCGCAUAUAGCAGAUUUCUUGAUGUUUUGAUGGGGAUUGCUUGACUUUCCAUAUAUAGGAAAGGAUAAACUAUAAAUGAUACAGUAGUUCACCAAAGUAGUUGUUGUUCUAACGGUGUCUUACAAGUAAGACCCAUGUGCUGAUAGUUUGUUCAGCACAAUUAUAGGAGUAAUUCCACUAUUUCACAAUAUAUGUUUUUUUCUCGAAAACGCAAGAGAAUUGAGUUUCAUUUCAUUAAGGGGAAGAAAAUAAAAGAAAAAUACAAAGUAGAAGAGACCAAUGCCCUCCUACCGCAAAAAACACACCCACACCCCGGUCAACCCCGGCUAUCUAGCUGCCUAGGUUUGCCGAACCACUAAAAAACUUUUGGCGGGGCAGAUGCUCCCACUAGACACCAAAGAUUACCCUCAUUCCCUACCACCUGCAAGACUGUCGCAGGUGGAAAAAUUUUCAAUAGCUACAUCUUGAUCUCCUCAAUGGAGAAAUACCUUCUUAAGCAAUGCACAAAUAUUGUAGGUGGCUUCUACCUGCAAGAUUACCCUCAUUCCCUACCACCUGCCUUCCACCGUCCUUAAUCAAAGUUUUUGAAAGUUAGGUGGCCGUAUUAUGAAUUUAUUAGGGAGCAGCCAUGGUUUCUUACUCUCUUACCAACUUUUUCUUAGAUUUUGUGCUUCUAGCUGGCUUGUGCGAACUGUGGGCAUUACAAAUAUUUUGAAACAGAAGGAACAAUUGGAUUGGUACUUAUACUAGUAACCACCUUUAUGCUGGUUGGACAUUGAAAGUGUUCCAAAAACUCUCCAAAAAAGUGGAUAUUGGAGCAUUUGCUGAACACAUGUACGCCCGCAAAAUUAUGGGGACAAAUGCUGUCAAACCAGGAAAAGUUACUUAUGAAGUUUACUCUUUUUUUUUGUCAUAAAUAAUAUCCACGAUGAUCAUGAAAAUUUGAAACCAAACAGGGCAAAUAUGCCCCACAAGUGAUUUUUCCCAUAUUUUCAGUAUAUUAUUCACAACCCAACUACAAUAAUAUAUACAAUUACUCCUAAAAGUGAGAAAUCUACAGGUGCAUUAUUGAACUUCUUUUUUUACAAAAAAGAAGUGCAUAUUUCUCUGAAAGUUUGGGAAGGUCCUAAAAAAAGGCAUAAAUUGCACCCUCAAUUUAUCAAUUUCAUAUUUACGCUGAUUUCAUUUUUAUGUAAAACAUUUAUUGAUGUUAACCUUGUACCAUUAUCUUGGCCUAAGAAUUCUAAUCGCACAAAAAAUUAACUUUCCUGUAGUCUGCUUUAAAUAUCCUAUGGUGCCAAAGUUCUCAAGGUGCAGUACUUAGAGAAAACAUAAUUCUUUAUUUACUACUUAACAUGCAAACUUAUACUCAGGUGGUUCACUACUGAAAUUAAGAAAAGAGCAUGUGUUCAAAUCAAUAUAAAAAAAUUAUAAAACAAUUGUUAACAAAUGGUUCAGCAUUUCUACUCUUCAAUUCUAUAAGCAUCACAAUGCAGUAUCAGUAUAAGCUAUAUCAAAUUUCUAAGAGAAAUGAGACACCGAUACUUCCAUCCCUGUAAAAAUGCAACAGUAGAUUUAAUAAUUGGACCUAUUAC